UUAAAUUCGAUGAAAAAGACAGUAAUUUACAAUUGUUUUGGUAAGCGAGCUGGGGAUUGGUGAGAGCCUGGUGCAAAAUAUGUAAAUGAAGCGCACUUUGGAGAAGCAGUCUGAACAUAAGUAGGACCUGCCGGGGAGUCACCUCGUUAUUAAUGGAAAGUGGUCACAAUUUGUGGCAACUAGAGUGGUACCACGGGAAUUCGAAGCUCUCGUCUCUAUU
RNAcentral lists this non-coding RNA (220 nucleotides) under Solibacillus silvestris. Its description in RNAcentral is "T-box sequence". It matches the Rfam family "T-box leader". Rfam says of the family: Uncharged tRNA acts as the effector for transcription antitermination of genes in the T-box leader family. The record is from RNAcentral. Lineage: Bacteria; Bacillati; Bacillota; Bacilli; Caryophanales; Caryophanaceae.